RNAcentral lists this ribosomal RNA (369 nucleotides) under uncultured organism. RNAcentral describes it as "bacterial SSU rRNA". It matches the Rfam family "Bacterial small subunit ribosomal RNA", at positions 526 to 896 of the family's 1533-position model. The record is from RNAcentral.
CGUAGGGUCCAAGCGUUGUCCGGAUUUACUGGGUUUAAAGGGUGCGUAGGCGGCUUUUAAGUCGGCGAUGAAAUGCAGGGGCUCAACCUUUGCGCUGUCGCCGAAACUGGAAGGCUUGAGAGUAGAAGAGGCAGCUGGAAUAAGUGGUGUAGCGGUGAAAUGCGUAGAGAUCACUUAGAACACCGAUUGCGAAGGCAGGUUGCUGGUCUACUUCUGACGCUGAGGCACGAAGGCAUGGGGAUCAAACAGGAUUAGAUACCCUGGUAGUCCAUGCAGUAAACGAUGGAUACUAGCUAUUUGGCACGCAGGUGUUGAGUGGCCAAGCGAAAGUGAUAAGUAUCCCACCUGGGGAGUACGCCCGCAAGGGUG